RNAcentral lists this ribosomal RNA (868 nucleotides) under uncultured Neocallimastigales. RNAcentral describes it as "partial large subunit ribosomal RNA". It matches the Rfam family "Eukaryotic large subunit ribosomal RNA", at positions 1 to 612 of the family's 3401-position model. The record is from RNAcentral. Lineage: Eukaryota; Fungi; Neocallimastigomycota; Neocallimastigomycetes; Neocallimastigales.
CGCAUCUGUGCAUGCAGCAUAUCAAUAAGCGGAGGAAAAGAGGGCUAUUACCUACGCUUAGGAUGUUGAAGUCAUCGUAUCGCGCAUGCUCGAUCUAAACAUGACUCUGCGCAUAUCAAUAAGCGGAGGAAAAGAAACUAACAAGGAUUCCCUUAGUAACGGCGAGUGAAGCGGGAAGAGCUCAAAUUUGAAAUCUUCAGGGUUUUACCUUGACGAAUUGUAGUUUAAAGAAGUGUUUUCUGCUGAAGUUUUGGUAAAAGUUCUUUGGAAUAGGACAUCAUAGAGGGUGAGAAUCCCGUAUUUGACCAUUAUUUUCAGCUUUGUGAUACACUUUCAAAGAGUCGGAUUGUUUGGGAAUGCAGUCCAAAAUGGGUGGUAAAUUUCAUCUAAAGCUAAAUAUUGGCGAGAGACCGAUAGCAAACAAGUACCGUGAGGGAAAGAUGAAAAGAACUUUGAAAAGAGAGUUAAACAGUACGUGAAAUUGUCAAAAGGGAAGCGUUUGACACCAGUGUUGUUUUCUCGAAAAUCAAUUAAAAAUGGCUCGAUUUUGUAUUGCUGAGACCUUAAGAGCUCACUGUACAUUUUUCGUGUCUUUUUUAAUGCACUUUUCGUUUAACAAGUCAACAUCAGUUUCUUUUGUUGUAAAAGGGUCAUUGGAAGGUGGCUUUCUUUUCGGAGAAAGUGUUUAUAGCCUUUGGCCUCUGCAAUCGGAGAGACUGAGGUCCGCAGCGUAGACUCUUCGGGGUUAGAUACAUUUGUGCUAAGUUAUAGCUUUUUAUAGACAACUUGUUGACUAUAAUUAGUCUUGUAGCUUACUCGCUUAUGCUAUUUUACCUACGCUUAGGAUGUUGACGCAUGAGAUAUACGC